This 72-nucleotide transfer RNA is filed under the name Ictidomys tridecemlineatus (thirteen-lined ground squirrel). RNAcentral's name for it is "Spermophilus tridecemlineatus (thirteen-lined ground squirrel) tRNA". It matches the Rfam family "tRNA". Rfam says of the family: Transfer RNA (tRNA) molecules are approximately 80 nucleotides in length. Their secondary structure includes four short double-helical elements and three loops (D, anti-codon, and T loops). The record is from Rfam by way of RNAcentral. Lineage: Eukaryota; Metazoa; Chordata; Mammalia; Rodentia; Sciuridae.
GGGGUUGUAGCUCAGUGGUUGAGCACUUGCCUCGUAUGCAUGAGCCACUGUGUUCAAUCCGCAGCAUCACAU